GACGAACGCUGGCGGCGUGCUUAAUACAUGCAAGUCAACUUGACUUUAGAUAGCAAUAUCGAAAGUAGGGUGGCGCACGGGUGCGUAACGCGUAGGUAAUCUGCCUGAGGUCUGACAUAACCCGUCGAAAGGCGGGCUAACAUCAGAUGAUAUAUAAUCACGACAUCGUGGAAAUAUCAAAUCUUCGGAGCCUUGGGAUGAGCCCUGCGUCUGAUUAGGUAGUUGGCGGAGUAAUAGCCCACCAAGCCUACGAUCAGUAGCUGGUCUGAGAGGAUGAUCAGCCACACUGGAACUGAGACACGGUCCAGACUCCUACGGGAGGCAGCAGUAAGGAAUAUUGCUCAAUGGGGGAAACCCGUGAAGCAGCAACGACCG
This 375-nucleotide ribosomal RNA is filed under the name uncultured bacterium. RNAcentral's name for it is "bacterial SSU rRNA". It matches the Rfam family "Bacterial small subunit ribosomal RNA", at positions 28 to 399 of the family's 1533-position model. The record is from RNAcentral.